AGGACGAACGCUGGCGGCGUGCUUAACACAUGCAAGUCGAGCGGAAAGGCCCUUCGGGGUACUCGAGCGGCGAACGGGUGAGUAACACGUGAGCAACCUGCCCUUAGCUCCGGGAUAGCUCCGGGAAACCGGAAUUAAAUACCGGAUAUAACCACGGCCGACAUCUGCUGUGGUGGAAAGGAUUCCGGCUAAGGAUGGGCUCGCGGCCUAUCAGCUAGUUGGUGGGGUAACGGCCCACCAAGGCGACGACGGGUA
Molecule: ribosomal RNA, 255 nt
Filed under: uncultured bacterium
Lineage: Bacteria
Description: partial small subunit ribosomal RNA
Rfam family: Bacterial small subunit ribosomal RNA
Source: RNAcentral